Suricata suricatta (meerkat) is the source of this 392-nucleotide long non-coding RNA. RefSeq lists it as uncharacterized. The record is from RefSeq and is a predicted model, not a curated record. Lineage: Eukaryota; Metazoa; Chordata; Mammalia; Carnivora; Herpestidae. The transcript has 4 exons.
GACUUCAGAAACAAGAAAAGAUUCAUUGAAAAGUGACCAACAAGCCAUGUGGCCAUGACACACCUCAAAUUGGCUGGCAUGUGCAGUCUUACCAUGUGCCUAGCAGGAAGUGCGAACCAGAAUAUGUGUGAAGAUUCCUAAAUGGCUCUACCCCUCUUCCCGUGUGAUAUUCAGAUGAAGAUGUCAAGCAGGAAUUUGGUGUCGCAGGUCUGAAAUGUAGAUCGGGAGACAGAGAUGAGGAGGUCGCUGGCUCAUAGGUGACAUUGCAACCACGUCAGUUCCUGUAGAUGUGUUCAACAAAGGAAUUCAAGCUCAGAAGGAACUCCUCCUCGGUAAUACACACCACAGUCCCGCCAAGUGUUUUCAUAAUUUACUAUAUCUCUGCCCUGGGG